Molecule: long non-coding RNA, 696 nt
Organism: Aedes albopictus (Asian tiger mosquito)
Lineage: Eukaryota; Metazoa; Arthropoda; Insecta; Diptera; Culicidae
Exons: 2
Source: RefSeq, a predicted model, not a curated record
UGAUAUAAGGAAGGUGAAGAGAUCGUUUUGUAUCAUACACGGCAGCGUACAUGUAGUAGUGCAUCGUUUGUGUUCACCCAUAGCAACCCAAGUCAUCUUGACGACGCUUGACGUCAUACGGUUUGUUAUGCCAAUUUCUUUCAAGCGCUGGACUUUCAUGUUUAACGCUAAAACAGAUUCAUACAUAGUAGUAGAUUUAUAACCAAUCGAAAUUCAAACCUUACGUUUAAAACAAAUAUCUCGUCACGCUUCAAAAAUAUUAAUUUAUGCGUAUCUUCAAACUGAUUUGAUCGCUGUACGAUAAUACUUGCAAUUAAGUAAAUAUCUGAACUAGUAUCUGAAAUUUCAAAAAAAGGUGGAAUGUCAUUUGUAGAACCCGGUCAUGUGCAAAUUAUGUUUAGCGUAUUGCUAUCGUUCUGGUUUCUAAGGGUGACCUAGAUGUUGUUUCUAAAACGAAAAUAUGAAAAAUUUGCACAACGCCGCUGAAUACUUUAGCAGGAGGGUCCUGGAAAUCCGGCGAAUCUGUUCAACUAAAAAAAUGUACGCGGAAAUGUUGGCAUUCAUAGGAUAUUACCCACCGAAAGGGUGUUUCAUGGUGGACAUUGUGUGAUGUGGUGAAGCGGAUGAAACGUUUCUAUAACGUGAUGGCUGUGGUUUAUGUCUUCAAAAGGCAAAUAAAUUGCUCAAUAACAUUCA